GUCAGAGGUCAAGGGACCCCUUUGAAAAUGGCCAUGCCAGUUUUUCCUCGCCAAAAUUUAGCAUAACUUUGGAGCGUUAUUUAGCCUCCUUCCCGACAAGCCAACAUGACCUGGUUGGAACCAAUGAAUUCUUUAGGUCUUUCUAAUUCCAAUAUG
Sebastes umbrosus (honeycomb rockfish) is the source of this 156-nucleotide long non-coding RNA. RefSeq lists it as uncharacterized. The transcript has 3 exons. NCBI's taxonomy places the organism in Eukaryota, Metazoa, Chordata, Actinopteri, Perciformes, Sebastidae. The record is from RefSeq and is a predicted model, not a curated record.